This 4065-nucleotide long non-coding RNA is filed under the name Sus scrofa (pig). RNAcentral describes it as "lncRNA (ENSSSCG00000052596.1)". The record is from RNAcentral. Lineage: Eukaryota; Metazoa; Chordata; Mammalia; Artiodactyla; Suidae.
UUAAUCCCAAAUUCCCGAUUUAUUCCUCCCCCACUCCUUUUCCCUUUUGGUAAGUUUGUUUUCUAUGUCUGUGAGUCUGCAAAAUAAGUUCAUUUGUAUCAUAUUUUAGAUUCCACAUAUAAGUGAUCUAUAUGAUAUUUGUCUUUGUCUGACUUCACUUGGUGUGAUAAUCUCUAUGUCCAUCCAUGUUGUUGGAAAUGGCAUAUUAUAUUCUUUUUAAUGCCUAAUAUUACAUUAUGUUUUAUGGUUACUAUUACACACAUGCUACAUCUUCUUUACCCACUCCUCGGUCGAUGGACAUUUAGGUUGCUUCUAUGUCUUGGCUAUUGUAAAUACUGCUACUAUAAACACUGGAGUGAAUGUAUUUUUUCAAAUUAUAGUUUUCUCUGGAUAUAUGACCAGAAAUGGCAUUUGUAAUAUUAAUUCUUUUUUUUUUUUUUUAAUUAAAGUGUGGUUGAUUUGUGGGGAGUUCUGAUUGUGGUGCAGUGCAAACGAAUCUGAUUAGUAUCCAUGAGGACGCAGGUUCAAUCCCUGGCCUUGCUCCGUGGGUUAGGGAUCCAGCGUUACCGUGAGCUUCAGUGUGGGUCCCAGACGUGCCUCGGAUCUGGCGCUGCUGUGGCUGUGGUGUAGGCCGACAACUGUAGUUCUGAUUCGAUCCCUAGCCUGGGAACUUCCAUGUGUCUGGGGUAUAGCCCCCCCCCCCAAAAAAAGGAGAUUUACAAUGUUUCUUCAAUUUCUGUUGUACAGCAAAGUUUCCCAAUCACAUACAGUUCCCAGUGCUGUACAGCAGGACCCCAUUGCCCAUCCAUUCCAAAUGCUACAGUUUGUAUCCACCAACCCCAAACUCCCCAUCCAUCCCACUCCUUCCCCCACUCCCCACCUCCCCCAGCAACCACAAGUCUGCUCUCCAUGUCAGUGAUCUGUUUCUGUUUUGUAGAUGGGAUCAUCUGUGCUAUAUUUUAGAUUCCACAUAUAAGUGAUAUCAUAUGGUAUUUGUCUUUCUCUUUCUGACUUACUUCACUUAGUAUAAGAAUUUCUAUUUCCAUCAUGUUGCCAUAAAUGACAUUAUGUUGUUCUUUUUAUGGCUGAGUAGUAUUCCAUUGUAUGUACGUACCACAAUUUCUUAAUCCAUUCAUCUGUUGAUGGACAUUUAGGUUUUUCCAUGUCUUGGCUAUUGUGAAUAGUGCUUCGAUGAACAUGUGUACAUGUAUCUUUUCAAAUGAAUGUUUUGUCUGGAUAUAUGCUCAGGAGUGGGAUUACUGGAUCAUAUGGUAGUUCUAUAGUUAGUUUUCCAAGGUACCUCCAUACUGUUUUCCAUAGUGGUCAUACCAGUUUACAUUCCCACCAACAGUGAAGGAGGUACCCUUUUCUCUACUCCCUCUCCAGCCUUUGUUAUUUGCUGACUUGUUGAUGGCUAUUCCAACUGCUGUGAGGUGGUACCUCAUAGUGGUUUUGGUUUGCAUUUCUCUAAUAAUUAGUGAUGUUGAGCAUUUUUUCAUAUGCUUGUUGGCCAUUCAUAUGUAUUCUUUGGAGAAAUGUCUACUUAGGUCUUCUGCCCAUUUUUCAAUUGGGUUGUUUGUUUUUUAUUGUUGUUGACUUGUAUGAAUUAUUUAUAUAUUUUGGAGAUUAGGCCUUUGUCUGUUGCAUAGUUUGCAAAGAUUUUCUCAUAUUCUUUGGGUUGUCUUUUCAUUUUUUAAAUAGUUUCCUUUUCUAUGCAAAAGCUUUUGACUUUAAUUAGGUCCCAUGGGUUUAUUUAUUUAUUUUUUUAAUUGUCAUUAUUCUAGGAGGUGGAUCAAACAAGAUGUUGCUGUGAUUUAAGUCGAAGAGCAUUCUGCCUAUGUUUUCCUCUAGGAGUUUUAUAUUUAGGUCUUUAACCAAUUUUGAAUUUAUUUUUGUAUGGUGUUAGAGUGUUUUAAUUUCAUUAUUUUAUAUCUAGCUUUCCAGUUUUCCCAGCACCAGUUAUUGAAAACACUAUCUUUCUUCCACUGUAUGUUCUUGCCUCCUUUGUCAUAGAUUAGUUGACCAUAGGUACUAGGGUUUAAUUUUGAGCUUUCUAUUCUGUUCCAUUGAUCUGUUUCUAUUUUUGUGCCACACCAUAUUAUUUUAAUGACUGAGUUUUGUAAUAUUGUCUGAAGUCAGGGAGCCUGAUUCCUCCAUUUCUGCGUUUCUUUUUCAAUAUUGUUUUAGCUAUUCAGGGUCUUUUGUGUUUCCAUACAAAUUUUAAAAUAUUCUGAUCUAGUUCUGAAAAGAAUGGCUUUGGUAGUUUGAUAGGAAUUGCACUGAAUCUGUAGAUUGCCUUGGGUAGUGUAAUCAUUUUGACGGAAUUGAUUCUUCUAGUCCAAGAGUAUGGCAUAUCGUUCCAUCUCUUUGUGUCAUCUUUGAUUUCUUUCAUCAGCAUCUUAUAGUUUUCAGAGUAUAGGUCUUUUAUCUCUUUAGGUAGGUUUACUUCUAGGUAUUUUAUUCCUUUUGUUAUGAUGGUUAAGUGGGGUGGUGUCUCUGAUUUCUCUUUCUGAUCUUUCAUUGUUAUUAUAUAGAAAUGCAAUCUAUUUCUGUGAAUUAAUUGUGUACCCUGCAAAUUUGCCAAAUUCAUUGAUGAGCUCUAACAGUUUUCUGGUAGUGUCUUUUAGAGUUUUCCAAAUAUAGCAUCACGUCAUCUGCAAACAGUGAUAGUUUUACUUCUUUUCCAAUUUGAAUUCCUUUUAUUUCCUUUUCUUGUCUGAUUGUCAUUGCUAGAACUUCCAAAACUAUGUUGAAUAGGAGUGGUGAAAGUGGAGUAAUGUUAAUUAUUAUGUAAAGGUGACUCUUAAGAGGAGGCAGUGUUUAGAUUUUUUGGACUGGAAAAACUGGCAGCAAUUUGAAAAGAACAUAUAGUAGUUUGGCAUUAUAUGGAGAUGAGGGGCAGAAGCAUGACUGAGCAUAAGCAUAAAAUUAGAAGUGGCUGCAUUGAAAUAGACAACUCUGGUAUGUUAUAUAUCCUUAAAUUUUACUGACUUAUUGUUGUAUGCCAAGUAUACAUACAUAAGCUCACUAAUCCUCAUGAAAAUCUUUUGAAAUAGGUUAUCUUGCAGAUUUCAAACAAACAUCCCUGAAACUCAGAGAAAUUAGAUCACCCAACAUCAUGUCUUUGGUAAAUGGAAGAAUCCGUACUCUCAACCACAGCCCUCUAGAUGAUUCAAAUUACCCAUUGUGUAUUUCCUAAGGGAAUCGUUUGCAUUCUUAAAUAGUAUGUACUCUAUUUUAAAAAUAUUUAAUUGAACAAAAUAAUCUUCUCUCUCAUUUAAACAUAAAAAUGUAAGGGAAAGUGAGAAUUGUAGGUUUUUAAAAUAUGUGAACAAUGUACACUAAAGCCAACUAAAUAGCAAAGAUGACAUUACACAUAUUUUCUUAGGAAUAAGAUCUUUCUGAGAGAUCAUAAAUAUUUAAGCCUAAACAUUCCAUAGAGUGGCAACAAGGACAAUUCUUGACUUAAUGUGGAAUUUUCUCAACCUUGAGAUAGGUAACUACACAAUCGGAAUUUCUCAUUAAUUGACCAAUAUUCUCUCUGCUUCGGAAAGUGCAGAUCUUCAAGCUUGAUCUUCACCCUCAAGAUAUUCGACUUCCAAGACCUUGAGAAAACCUUGUGAAAGUUAUAGAUAAAAAGAAAUGGGCUACAAUCAUAGAUUUUUAUGUUCUUGCUUAAUUCAAUUUGAUUAUCUUAAUCUAAUCCUCGUCCUCAUUUUUCGUAAUCGCUCUAACUUUACUGUUUCAUUGCGUUCAUUCAUCAGAGUUCUUCCUCAAAUAUCCAUUCUUCCUUUUUCAAAAAGAGAAGUCUUGAGUCUUAUCUGAACACGUGGCUUUCAAGAAUAAAGUUUGGGAGUUCCUGUUGUGGCACAGCAGAAACGAAUCCGACUAGUAUCCAUGAGGAUGUGGGUUCAAUCCCCAGCCUCACUCAGUGGGUUGAGGAUCCAGCGGGGCCUUGAGCUGUGGUGUAGGUUGCAAAUGCAGCUUGGAUCCCACAUUGCUGUGGCUGUAGUGUAGACUGGUAGCUACAGCUCUGAUUUGACUCCAUAUGCCACAGGUUCGGCC